CUAGAUACAAGCGAGCGGCGGACGGGUGCAUUAUACACGAUGGGUAACCCUGCCCAAGAGACUGGGAUAACACCCUGGAAACAGAUGCUAAUACCGGAUAACAACACUAGACGCAUGUCUAGAGUUUGAAAGAUGGUUCUGCUAUCACUCUUGGAUGGACCUGCGGUGCAUUAGCUAGUUGGUAAGGUAACGGCUUACCAAGGCAAUGAUGCAUAGCCGAGUUGAGAGACUGAUCGGCCACAUUGGGACUGAGACACGGCCCAAACUCCUACGGGAGGCAGCAGUAGGGAAUCUUCCACAAUGGACGAAAGUCUGAUGGAGCAACGCCGCGUGAGUGAAGAAGGGUUUCGGCUCGUAAAGCUCUGUUGGUAGUGAAGAAAGAUAGAGGUAGUAGCUGGCCUUUAUUUGACGGUAAUUACUUAGAAAGUCACGGCUAACUACGUGCCAGCAGCCGCGGUAAUACGUAGGUGGCAAGCGUUGUCCGGGAUUUAUUGGGCGUAAAGCGGAGUGCAGGCGGGUUCAAUAAGUCUGAUGUGAAAGCCUUCGGCUUCACCCGGAGAAAUUGCAUCAGAAA
This 574-nucleotide ribosomal RNA is filed under the name uncultured bacterium. RNAcentral describes it as "bacterial SSU rRNA". It matches the Rfam family "Bacterial small subunit ribosomal RNA", at positions 80 to 632 of the family's 1533-position model. The record is from RNAcentral.